Molecule: non-coding RNA, 84 nt
Filed under: Halanaerobium saccharolyticum
Lineage: Bacteria; Bacillati; Bacillota; Clostridia; Halanaerobiales; Halanaerobiaceae
Also listed under: 1 other name
Description: c-di-GMP sequence
Rfam family: c-di-GMP-I riboswitch aptamer
About the family: GEMM was predicted in a large-scale screen for bacterial structured RNA regulatory elements. Genes associated with GEMM are involved in a diverse array of functions, including chemotaxis regulation, signal transduction, secretion and chitin.
Source: RNAcentral
AAUAUAUAAUAGCAAAGCAGUUUAAAGGCUGUGACGCAAAAACAUAAGUCUAAGGGAUUUCCUAUGAUAGUUAUGUUUACCUCA